Molecule: long non-coding RNA, 255 nt
Organism: Lampris incognitus (smalleye Pacific opah)
Lineage: Eukaryota; Metazoa; Chordata; Actinopteri; Lampriformes; Lampridae
Exons: 4
Source: RefSeq, a predicted model, not a curated record
AGGCUUUUCACCCCAGGACACGGAAUAGGAAUACAAUUUAUGGUACCCAACAUGGACGAAGGAGGGACCGCUUCGAUACCAAACAGAAAAGAGCUACGCAGGCAGAAGCUGAUGGAAUACUUGGCAGCAAAGGGGCAACUGUCACAACCUAACGCUAAGUCACACCCCCAGGAUGACUGUCUGGUUAAGAAGCCUUCUAUUUCCAGACUAAAGGCACAACUGGUCAAGGAAAAAGAAAACCAAGCACCACUUGCU